UACAGAGGGUGCAAGCGUUGUUCGGAAUAAUUGGGCGUAAAGGGUGCGUAGGCGGUUAUAUAAGUCUCAUGUGAAAGUCAAUGGCUCAACCAUUGGAGGCCAUGAGAUACUGUAUAACUAGAAUAUUGUAGAGGGCAGUGGAAUUUCUGGUGUAGCGGUGAAAUGCGUAGAUAUCAGAAGGAACAUCAGUGGCGAAGGCGACUGCCUGGACAAAUAUUGACGCUGAGGCACGAAAGCGUGGGUAGCGAACAGG
This 253-nucleotide ribosomal RNA is filed under the name uncultured bacterium. RNAcentral describes it as "partial 16S ribosomal RNA". It matches the Rfam family "Bacterial small subunit ribosomal RNA", at positions 524 to 776 of the family's 1533-position model. The record is from RNAcentral.